AUCCACCUGACGAGUCCAAAGUAGGCCAAAACGCGCGUCCUGGAU
RNAcentral lists this non-coding RNA (45 nucleotides) under Schistosoma mansoni. The record is from RNAcentral. Lineage: Eukaryota; Metazoa; Platyhelminthes; Trematoda; Strigeidida; Schistosomatidae.